UCCUUUCUCUACACAAGGACACAAUAUGGUCUUCUUCAUCUUGCUUCGACAGACCACACCCCAUCUCUCGAUAAAGUCCUUUUCUUGGCGGAAAAAAGAAGUGGGUUUUGUCUUGUAGGUGAUACUACGGCGUGCUUUUGCUAAAAUGGAGGAAGGCUGUGAUAGCAAGGCAGAAAGGUGGUACUGGAAAAGUUGAGGAGAAGAAAAUCAUAACAUCAGCAGGUGGCAACUGAUAGAAACAGAAAAUAAUGGUGGGUGAUGAGGAUGGAAGGGGUUGAUUGAGCUUGGAAUAUAGCUUAGCUUAAAGGGUCUCUCUGGUAAAGUUGAAAAGAACAGUUGCGACUUGUCAGACG
Molecule: unclassified non-coding RNA, 353 nt
Filed under: Hevea brasiliensis (rubber tree)
Lineage: Eukaryota; Viridiplantae; Streptophyta; Magnoliopsida; Malpighiales; Euphorbiaceae
Source: RNAcentral